Molecule: ribosomal RNA, 157 nt
Filed under: uncultured methanogenic archaeon
Lineage: Archaea; Methanobacteriati; Methanobacteriota
Description: partial 16S ribosomal RNA
Rfam family: Archaeal small subunit ribosomal RNA
Source: RNAcentral
ACGGGGGGACGGGGUGCAGCAGGCGCGAAACCUCCGCAAUGUGAGAAAUCGCGACGGGGGGAUCCCAAGUGCCAUUCUUAACGGGAUGGCUUUUCAUUAGUGUAAAGAGCUUUUGGAAUAAGGGCUGGGCAAGACCGGUGCCAGCCGCCGCGGUAAU